AGAGUUUGAUCCUGGCUCAGGAUGAACGCUAGCGGCAGGCUUAACACAUGCAAGUCGAGGGGUAGGGUAGCAAUACNUGAGACCGGCGCACGGGUGCGUAACGCGUAUGCAAUCUACCUUUUACAGAGGGAUAGCCCAGAGAAAUUUGGAUUAAUACCUCAUAGUAUAUAUCAUUCGCAUGUUUGAUAUAUUAAAGUUCCAACGGUAAAAGAUGAGCAUGCGUCCCAUUAGUUAGUUGGUAAGGUAACGGCUUACCAAGACGAUGAUGGGUAGGGGUCCUGAGAGGGAGAUCCCCCACACUGGUACUGAGACACGGACCAGACUCCUACGGGAGGCAGCAGUGAGGAAUAUUGGACAAUGGGCGCAAGCCUGAUCCAGCCAUGCCGCGUGCAGGAAGACGGUCCUAUGGAUUGUAAACUGCUUUUGUACGGGAAGAAACACUCCCUCGUGAGGGAGCUUGACGGUACCGUAAGAAUAAGGAUCGGCUAACUCCGUGCCAGCAGCCGCGGUAAUACGGAGGAUCCAAGCGUUAUCCGGAAUCAUUGGGUUUAAAGGGUCCGUAGGCGGUUUAGUAAGUCAGUGGUGAAAUCUGGUCGCUCAACGAUCAAACGGCCGUUGAUACUGCUAGACUUGAAUUACUAGGAAGUAACUAGAAUAUGUAGUGUAGCGGUGAAAUGCUUAGAUAUUACAUGGAAUACCAAUUGCGAAGGCAGGUUACUACUAGUGGAUUGACGCUGAUGGACGAAAGCGUGGGUAGCGAACAGGAUUAGAUACCCUGGUAGUCCACGCCGUAAACGAUGGAUACUAGCUGUUGGGCGCAAGUUCAGUGGCAAGCGAAAGU
Molecule: ribosomal RNA, 841 nt
Filed under: uncultured bacterium
Lineage: Bacteria
Description: bacterial SSU rRNA
Rfam family: Bacterial small subunit ribosomal RNA
Source: RNAcentral